GCGGCCAUAGCUCAAUGGAUAGAGCAUUUGGCUUCGGACCAAAGGGUUGGGGGUUCGAGUCCCUCUGGCCGCACCA
RNAcentral lists this transfer RNA (76 nucleotides) under Candidatus Falkowiibacteriota bacterium. RNAcentral's name for it is "tRNA-Arg". It matches the Rfam family "tRNA". From Rfam's summary of the family: Transfer RNA (tRNA) molecules are approximately 80 nucleotides in length. Their secondary structure includes four short double-helical elements and three loops (D, anti-codon, and T loops). The record is from RNAcentral. Lineage: Bacteria; Candidatus Falkowiibacteriota.